This 255-nucleotide ribosomal RNA is filed under the name uncultured bacterium. RNAcentral's name for it is "partial 16S ribosomal RNA". It matches the Rfam family "Bacterial small subunit ribosomal RNA", at positions 524 to 776 of the family's 1533-position model. The record is from RNAcentral.
UACGAAGGAGGCUAGCGUUGCUCGGAAUCACUGGGCGUAAAGCGCACGUAGGCGGAUUGCUAAGUCAGGGGUGAAAUCCUGGAGCUCAACUCCAGAACUGCCUUUGAUACUGGCGAUCUUGAGUCCGGGGAGAGGUGAGUGGAACUGCGAGUGUAGAGGUGAAAUUCGUAGAUAUUCGCAAGAACACCAGUGGCGAAGGCGGCUCACUGGCCCGGUACUGACGCUGAGGUGCGAAAGCGUGGGGGAGCAAACAGG